This 472-nucleotide ribosomal RNA is filed under the name Dialister sp. oral taxon C18. RNAcentral's name for it is "bacterial SSU rRNA". It matches the Rfam family "Bacterial small subunit ribosomal RNA", at positions 28 to 475 of the family's 1533-position model. The record is from RNAcentral. Lineage: Bacteria; Bacillati; Bacillota; Negativicutes; Veillonellales; Veillonellaceae.
GACGAACGCUGGCGGCGUGCUUAACACAUGCAAGUCGAACGGGAAGACAUGAAGAGCUUGCUCUUUAUGAAAUCCAGUGGCAAACGGGUGAGUAACACGUAAACAACCUGCCUUCAGGAUGGGGACAACAGACGGAAACGACUGCUAAUACCGAAUACGAUUCUUGAGUCGCAUGACACAAGAAAGAAAGGGUGGCCUCUACAAGUAAGCUAUCGCCUGAAGAGGGGUUUGCGUCCGAUUAGGUAGUUGGUGAGGUAACGGCCCACCGAGCCGACGAUCGGUAGCCGGUCUGAGAGGAUGAACGGCCACAUUGGAACUGAGACACGGUCCAGACUCCUACGGGAGGCAGCAGUGGGGAAUCUUCCGCAAUGGGCGAAAGCCUGACGGAGCAACGCCGCGUGAGUGAAGACGGCCUUCGGGUUGUAAAACUCUGUGAUUCGGGACGAAAGAUAAGUAGACGAAUAAUCUGCAU